AGAGUUUGAUCCUGGCUCAGAACGAACGCUGGCGGCGUGGAUAAGACAUGCAAGUCGAACGCUGAUUAUGGGGUAGCAAUAUUCCAUAGUCGGAGUGGCGCAAGGGUGCGUAACACGUGGGUAAUUUGCCGUGAAGUUGGGGAUAACUCGCUGAAAGGCGAGCUAAUACCGAAUGUGAAUGUUGGGAGGCAUCUCUCAAUUUUCAAAGUUGGGGACCGAAAGGCCUGAUGCUUCACGAUAAGCCCGCGGCCUAUCAGCUAGUUGGUGAGGUAACGGCUCACCAAGGCUAAGACGGGUAGCUGGUCUGAGAGGACGACCAGCCACACUGGAACUGAGACACGGUCCAGACACCUACGGGUGGCAGCAGUCGAGAAUUUUUCUCAAUGGGCGCAAGCCUGAAGGAGCGACGCCGCGUGGGGGAUGAAGGGCUUCGGCCCGUAAACCCCUGUCAUUUGCGAACAAUGCGUUUCACCUAACACGUGAAACGUUGAUAGUAGCGAAAGAGGAAGGGACGGCUAACUCUGUGCCAGCAGCCGCGGUGAUACAGAGGUCCCAAGCGUUGUUCGGAUUCACUGGGCGUAAAGGGUGCGUAGGUGGCGGGGUAAGUUUGAUGUGAAAUCUCCAAGCUUAACUUGGAAAUGGCAUUGAAUACUCUCCCGCUAGAGGGUCGGAGGGGAGACUGGAAUUCUCGGUGUAGCAGUGAAAUGCGUAGAUAUCGAGAGGAACACCAGUGGCGAAGGCGAGUCUCUGGACGACACCUGACACUGAGGCACGAAAGCUAGGGGAGCAAACAGGAUUAGAUACCCUGGUAGUCC
RNAcentral lists this ribosomal RNA (815 nucleotides) under uncultured bacterium. RNAcentral describes it as "bacterial SSU rRNA". It matches the Rfam family "Bacterial small subunit ribosomal RNA", at positions 8 to 796 of the family's 1533-position model. The record is from RNAcentral.